Molecule: ribosomal RNA, 253 nt
Filed under: uncultured bacterium
Lineage: Bacteria
Description: partial 16S ribosomal RNA
Rfam family: Bacterial small subunit ribosomal RNA
Source: RNAcentral
UACGUAGGGGUCAAGCGUUGUCCGGAAUUAUUGGGCGUAAAGAGCGUGUAGGCGGCCCGAUAAGUCCGCUGUGAAAUCUCGAGGCUCAACUUCGAGCUGUCGGUGGAAACUAUCUGGCUAGAGUCCGGAAGAGGAGAAUGGAAUUCCUGGUGUAGCGGUGAAAUGCGCAGAUAUCAGGAAGAACACCCGUGGCGAAGGCGGUUCUCUGGGACGGUACUGACGCUGAGACGCGAAAGCUAGGGGAGCAAACGGG